ACAUCAGCACCCCCCACCUCCUGCAGCUUAUUCUAGCCAGUCUGUCACCUCUCCCGUUUCACGCCAUCUGUCACCCAAGCAGGUGCCUCUGCGAGGACUGUGUGUUCUGGUUUUAGCACAUUGCUGGUAUUCAGGACACAGAACAUGGGGCCUCAUGGCUUCACCUGCGGAUGCUGAGAUGUUAGCUGGGUGUCACAAGACCAAGGAGAGAAAACAAGCCCUUCACACCCUAAAUCUGUCUGAAACCAGGAAGCAACCAAGGCCAUGGCUUCCAUCUAAGGCUUCAGCCACAAAGUCCUGCAGGCCACAAAAAGAGGACUCCACACUCUGCCUUUCCCCUGAGAAUGGAAUGAAAAUCAGUUGA
This 364-nucleotide long non-coding RNA is filed under the name Ictidomys tridecemlineatus (thirteen-lined ground squirrel). RNAcentral's name for it is "lncRNA (ENSSTOG00000029410.1)". Lineage: Eukaryota; Metazoa; Chordata; Mammalia; Rodentia; Sciuridae. The record is from RNAcentral.